Molecule: ribosomal RNA, 251 nt
Filed under: uncultured bacterium
Lineage: Bacteria
Description: partial 16S ribosomal RNA
Rfam family: Bacterial small subunit ribosomal RNA
Source: RNAcentral
ACGUAGGGAGCAAGCGUUAUCCGGAUUUAUUGGGUGUAAAGGGUGCGUAGACGGGAAAGCAAGUUAGUUGUGAAAUCCCUCGGCUUAACUGAGGAACUGCAACUAAAACUACUUUUCUUGAGUGUUGGAGAGGAAAGUGGAAUUCCUAGUGUAGCGGUGAAAUGCGUAGAUAUUAGGAGGAACACCGGUGGCGAAGGCGACUUUCUGGACAAUAACUGACGUUGAGGCACGAAAGUGUGGGGAGCAAACAG